RNAcentral lists this ribosomal RNA (297 nucleotides) under uncultured bacterium. RNAcentral's name for it is "partial 16S ribosomal RNA". It matches the Rfam family "Bacterial small subunit ribosomal RNA", at positions 475 to 776 of the family's 1533-position model. The record is from RNAcentral.
CUAUGCGCCUUGCCAGCCCGCUCAGUGUGCCAGCCGCCGCGGUAAUACGUAGGGGCAAGCGUUAUCCGGAUUUACUGGGUGUAAAGGGAGCGUAGACGGCGAAGAAAGUCUGAAGUGAAAGCCCGCGGCUCAACCGCGGAAUGGCUUUGGAAACUUUUUUGCUGGAGUACCGGAGAGGUAAGCGGAAUUCCUAGUGUAGCGGUGAAAUGCGUAGAUAUUAGGAGGAACACCAGUGGCGAAGGCGGCUUACUGGACGGUAACUGACGCUGAGGCUCGAAAGCGUGGGGAGCGAACAGG